RNAcentral lists this ribosomal RNA (355 nucleotides) under Bacteroides sp. RNAcentral describes it as "bacterial SSU rRNA". It matches the Rfam family "Bacterial small subunit ribosomal RNA", at positions 1 to 348 of the family's 1533-position model. The record is from RNAcentral. Lineage: Bacteria; Pseudomonadati; Bacteroidota; Bacteroidia; Bacteroidales; Bacteroidaceae.
AACAGCGGAGAGUUUGAUCCUGGCUCAGGAUGAACGCUAGCGACAGGCUUAACACAUGCAAGUCGAGGGGCAGCAGGGGAGGAGCAAUCCUCCCGCUGGCGACCGGCGCACGGGUGAGUAACACGUAUGGAACCUGCCCGCAGCAGGGGGAUAAGCGGAAGAAAUUCCGUCUAAUACCGCGUAACAACCUGAGGAGGCAUCUCCUUGGGUUUAAAGAUUUAGCGGCUGCGGAUGGCCAUGCGGCGCAUUAGCUAGUCGGCGGGGUAACGGCCCACCGAGGCGACGAUGCGUAGGGGUUCUGAGAGGAAGGCCCCCCACACUGGUACUGAGACACGGACCAGACUCCUACGGGAGG